Long non-coding RNA from Cannabis sativa, 402 nucleotides. RefSeq lists it as uncharacterized. The transcript is spliced from 2 exons. NCBI's taxonomy places the organism in Eukaryota, Viridiplantae, Streptophyta, Magnoliopsida, Rosales, Cannabaceae. The record is from RefSeq and is a predicted model, not a curated record.
GCCAAACCUCAUUGCAAUUUCUAAAAGGGACUUAUAGUGUCCCCAAGUACAUUGUAAUGAGCACAUACAAAUGUGCUCAUAUAUUUACUAAUAUGAGUAUCAUUAAGGUCAUUUUGUGGAAUAAUAAUCAAUACUCCUUUGUGCACAAAUUGUUCAAUGCUUCAAAAUAGAGAAUAAUAAAAUUAGUGUCAAAGAACUAUUCACACUUGGGAAACCUUAUUGCAUUACUGCUUAGUAUCCACAUGAGAGAAUAGAAAGCACAAUCUAUAGAACAGAACCAAUUGAAAUGAAAUGCCUUAUUAAACUAUUUCACUUCUCCAUUCCCUAUUUAUUACCAUGAAUAGCUAAAAAGAAGAAGAAAAAAAAAAAAUAUAUCCUUCCCUACUUUCUACACAGUACAAC